AGAGUUUGAUCCUGGCUCAGGACGAACGCUGGCGGCGUGCUUAACACAUGCAAGUCACGGGGGCCCGCAAGGGCAACCGGCGAACGGGUGCGUAACACGUGAGCAAUCUGCCGAUCUCUGGGGGAUAGCCGGCCCAACGGCCGGGUAAUACCGCAUACGCUCAUCGGGGGGAUUCCCCUGGUGAGGAAACCUCCGGGGGAGAUCGAGGAGCUCGCGACCUAUCAGCUUGUUGGCGGGGUAAUGGCCCACCAAGGCUACGACGGGUAGCUGGUCUGAGAGGAUGGCCAGCCACAUUGGGACUGCGACACGGCCCAGACUCCUACGGGAGGCAGCAGUGGGGAAUAUUGCGCAAUGGACGAAAGUCUGACGCAGCGACGCCGCGUGUGGGAUGAAGCCUUUCGGGGUGUAAACCACUGUUGCCCGGGACGAAACUCUCCUUUCGAGGAGAUUGACGGUACCGGGUGAGGAAGCACCGGCUAACUCUGUGCCAGCAGCCGCGGUAAUACAGAGGGUGCGAGCGUUGUCCGGAAUCACUGGGCGUAAAGGGCGCGUAGGUGGCGAGAUAAGCGUGUGGUGAAAGCCCGGGGCUCAACCCCGGGUCUGCCAUGCGGACUGUCUCGCUCGAGCGUAGUAGAGGCAGGUGGAAUUCCGGGUGUAGCGGUGGAAUGCGUAGAGAUCCGGAAGAACACCGGUGGCGAAGGCGGCCUGCUGGGCUACUGCUGACACUGAGGCGCGACAGCGUGGGGAGCAAACAGGAUUAGAUACCCUGGUAGUCCACGCCGUAAACGAUGGGUACUAGGUGUCUGGGGGAGCGACCCCCUGGGUGCCGGCGCUAACGCAUGAAGUACCCCGCCUGGGGAGUACGGCCGCAAGGCUGAAACUCAAAGAAAUUGACGGGGCCCGCACAAGCGGUGGAGCAUGUGGUUUAAUUCGACGCAACGCGAAGAACCUUACCUGGGUUUGACAUGCUGGAGAAAGCUCGCAGAAACGUGAGCCCUCUUCGGAGUUCCAGCA
This 1014-nucleotide ribosomal RNA is filed under the name uncultured bacterium. RNAcentral describes it as "bacterial SSU rRNA". It matches the Rfam family "Bacterial small subunit ribosomal RNA", at positions 8 to 1034 of the family's 1533-position model. The record is from RNAcentral.